This is a long non-coding RNA of Etheostoma spectabile (orangethroat darter), 147 nucleotides long. RefSeq lists it as uncharacterized. The record is from RefSeq and is a predicted model, not a curated record. NCBI's taxonomy places the organism in Eukaryota, Metazoa, Chordata, Actinopteri, Perciformes, Percidae. The transcript has 3 exons.
UAGACAGCUGAGAAAAAAAGGAAAACAAAUAUUCAAGCAUGAGGAAAACAGUUGCAGCUGGUAUGCAAAUAAUUAAGAAGAGACAUCUUAAACUGUUGAAAAGAGGGGAUAGAUCUAAAAGACCUAGGUAAACCACGUGUUGUCCUU